UUUUAAUAAUUUAAAUAAAAUAUUGGUCUUGUAAACCAAAAAUAAGGAUACUUUUAAAACUU
Molecule: transfer RNA, 62 nt
Filed under: Coleoptera sp. ACP-2013
Lineage: Eukaryota; Metazoa; Arthropoda; Insecta; Coleoptera
Description: tRNA-Thr
Source: RNAcentral